UGUAAAUUGAUAAGUUAAUGUAUUGCAACUUAAAGGAAAAACAACACAAUUUGAAGCAAAAAUAGAUGAACAUACACAUGACAAAGUGUAAAUGUUGUGUACAGUGAAUUAUUGUGGUUGUGUUUUAUGAUUAUUGUCAUCUUUAUUGUUAUUUAUAGAUAUUUCUGGUUAUUACUGAACAGAUUUCUUUCCCUCAUAUUUUAAUUUUGAAGGUUAAACUCUUGCCCCAAGAGCAAAAGGGGUAAUCAUACUACCUGAUGUAUGGACUUUUACACCAGGCUUUUACCCUGCACGAGCUGGCCAACUUGAGGGGAACUGAAGUGGGCAAACCUCGCCCUGUCCUUGAACAAGAAAGCUGGAUUUGUUGAGAGAGUAUCAUUUAAGCUGAAAUCCAGCAUGAAACAAGGGAGGUGAUGGCCAUCGCACAGGCCAUGUGCCGACUAUUCACUUUCCACCAGCUUGUAACUUGCUCCAUGAAGGGAGCAACAACUACAACUGGGUCACCAAGACCAAGCCUCCCCGCUGCUGAGAGAAAUGCAAUCAUUGAUGUCAUAGCCAAAACCUUUGACAAGCCCCUGGUUGAUGUUGAAGAAAAGAUGAGAGGUUGUUUAAGGCAUCUGCGGCUGAUGCACAAGUAGACUGAAGUCUUUGUAAAUAAAAUGUGCUGUUAAAAUGAUUAUUUAACCAUUGUUUUCACUUUGUUAUAUUGAUUUGCGCCUGUUUCAACAACAUUAACUUAUUUUUAUGCUCCCGGUAGGGUCUCAUAUAGCAGUUGAACUGUCCGUCUGUCUGUCUAUCCGUCCGAAAACUUCAGCAUUGGUCAUAACUUUUGCAAUAUUGAAGAAAGCAACUUGAUAUUUAGCAUGCAUGUGUAUCUCAUUGAACUGCACAUUUUGAGUGGUGCAAGGUCAAGGUCAUCCUUCAAGGUCAGAGGUCAAAAUCCAAUGGAAGACAUAAGCAAAGAGAGAUAAUUUCUAAACCUGCCAAAUGAUAAAUAGAAAUUUUAUUUCAAAGCGGCGCAGUAGGGGGCAUUGUGUUUCUGACAAACACAUCUCUUGUUUGUAUUUAUUCCAUACAAUCUUACUUUUUUCAGUUCUUUCUUUGUGUUCAAUGUUAUGUUAUAACACUAUUAUAUUUUAUUAUAACAAUGCCAUGUCUGUCAAAAUAGUUUUAUCAUGCUGUGUAUAUGGAU
Molecule: long non-coding RNA, 1192 nt
Organism: Dreissena polymorpha
Lineage: Eukaryota; Metazoa; Mollusca; Bivalvia; Myida; Dreissenidae
Exons: 3
Source: RefSeq, a predicted model, not a curated record